CCCGCUGAACUUAAGCAUAUCAAUAAGCGGAGGAAAAGAAACUAACAAGGAUUCCCCUAGUAACUGCGAGUGAAGCGGGAAAAGCUCAAAUUUAAAAUCUGGGGGUCCCUGUGGCCCUCCGAGUUGUAAUCUAGAGAAGUGCUAUCCGCGCUGGACCGUGUACAAGUCUCCUGGAACGGAGCGUCAUAGAGGGUGAGAAUCCCGUCUUUGACACGGACUACCAAGGCUUAUGUGAUGUGCUCUCCAAGAAUCCAGGUGGUUGGGAAUGCCGCUCUAAAUGGGUGGUAAAUUCCAUCUAAAGGUAAAUAUUGGCGAGAGACAGAUAGCGAACAAGGACCAUGAGGGAAAGAUGAAAAGCACUUUGGAAAGAGAGUUAAACAGUACGAGAAAAUGGUGAAAGGGAACCGCUUGGAGGCCGGCGCGUCGCCCAGAAAUCAUCCUUGCUUUUGCUUGCUGUACUUUCUGGUCAGCGUCUCAGCAUCAAUUUUGACCGGUGGAUAAAGAUCAGGGCAAUGUGGCAUCUUCGGAUGAGUCAUAGCCCUUGGCUUCAUACCUCGAUUGGGAGAGAGGAACUCACCAUCCCGCAAGGCCGGGUUGUCACCCACGUACAUGCUUAGGAUGCUGGCAUAAUGGCUUUAAUCGACCCGUCUUGAAACACGG
This 660-nucleotide ribosomal RNA is filed under the name uncultured fungus. Its description in RNAcentral is "eukaryotic LSU rRNA". It matches the Rfam family "Eukaryotic large subunit ribosomal RNA", at positions 24 to 664 of the family's 3401-position model. Lineage: Eukaryota; Fungi. The record is from RNAcentral.